This 440-nucleotide ribosomal RNA is filed under the name uncultured bacterium. RNAcentral describes it as "partial 16S ribosomal RNA". It matches the Rfam family "Bacterial small subunit ribosomal RNA", at positions 338 to 795 of the family's 1533-position model. The record is from RNAcentral.
CCUACGGGUGGCAGCAGUAGGGAAUCUUGCACAAUGGGGGAAACCCUGAUGCAGCAACGCCGCGUGGGUGAAGAAGUAUUUCGGUAUGUAAAGCCCUAUCAGCAGGGAAGAGAAUGACGGUACCUGACUAAGAAGCCCCGGCUAACUACGUGCCAGCAGGCGCGGUAAUACGUAGGGGGAACGCGUUCUCCGGAUUUAUUGGGUGGAAAGGGAGCGUAGACGGUUGUGCAAGUCUGAAGUGAAAGCCCUCGGCUCAACGGCGGUACGGCUUUGGAAACUGUGUAACUGGAGUGCUGGAGAGGGAAGCGGAAUUCCUGGUGGAGCGGUGAAAUGCGUAGAGAUCAGGAGGAACACCGGCGGCGAAGGCGGCUUACUGGACAGUAACUGACGUUGAGGUUCGAAAGCGUGGGUAGCAAACAGGAUUAGAUACCCUAGUAGUG